CACACACACACACACCAAAAGCCAGGUCACGGAUGCACACCUCGUUUGGGCAACGAUAUCAGGGGACGCAGACUGUAGGGGAUUUACUACGGUUCGUCUGAACCAAGACAGACUCGCAAAUUCACAUAUUUAUUUCGUUCAAUAUCAAUUUACAGAAAAAUCUGCCUGAUCCCCAAAUGGUCCCCUUCCUCUGGACACAUGCCGAACUGCCCAGGCUGCAGCACCGUCCCUGGGAUGUUGUCCCAAAGAACAGCUACUAGAGGAUCCUUCCGAGUUUGGUUCUGAAACCUGUCUGACUCAGGACAGUGAGCAUCAGAUCAUCACACCCCAGGCGAGCCUGCAACUGAUCCAGUGAUUUUCAAGGUGGGAGGUCAAUGUGCACACAGCCAGCCCACAUAAUCACGUCCGGUACAGUCUGCUCUGUGUCCCCAGCCGCCUCUGCAGUGACGAACUGGCGGGGGUAGAAGCAUUCUCCCUACGUGCCUCUUCAGGAAGACAGGACCCUCCAUUACACUUUCAUUUAUCGAUAUUUCUACCUUCAGUGUUUUAAAUACUUUUCAGGACUUGUCUGAUGUCACCAUGACACAUUUGUUUUGCGUAUUAGGUAAUCUGUACUGAGUUUUUGUAUUUCUUUUAUUUAACUGUAUUUUUUAAAGUUUGUGAGUUUU
Molecule: long non-coding RNA, 668 nt
Organism: Brienomyrus brachyistius
Lineage: Eukaryota; Metazoa; Chordata; Actinopteri; Osteoglossiformes; Mormyridae
Exons: 3
Source: RefSeq, a predicted model, not a curated record